AUUUAAACAACUGUUAUACGAAAGCACAAUUUAGUUUGUGUUAAAGAGUCUACGGUAUAAUACGGAGACAAAACUUCUGGCCUUUCUGUUGCAGGAGGACGGAAAUGCAUACGCGUCCAGUCGCAUUUUGUCGGUUGCCGGUUUUGUUUUCCUUGGCCAGAAUAAAUGGUUGGUUCUACCCGUUAAGCUAACGGCUACACAGUCGGCAAUUACAAACGGAUAAUGAAAGUUUCGUUUCAAUGAUUGCAACGCUGAAAAGCUGAAGUUGUAAAGGCAAAUUCAGAAAAAAAAACAAAGUCACAAAAUUCACUUGAUAUGCCGUGUUUUGUUGUUUGAGCAGGUUGUGUUGCGCGAUUCGGUCUGUCGUUGGCUAGAGUUUGUGUUGUGUGCGUGGCGCAGCCGAGAACGAGUGUCGUGAGUCGUUGAAACGGCUUUUCUGUGCUUACUCGGUAGCACGCAAAUGUCCUGCCAGUGAUUUAAGCUGUGUGUUGGACUUACAAACAACCGUUAUGUGAACAAAACUAUAAGUGGGCGCGGUUAUUAUCCGAUUUCUUCGAUUUUUGAACUGUAUAUGGAAAUGCCUGAAGAAAACGACUCUAUAGAGUUUGGUUGACAUAGCUAUAGUAGUUUCCGAGAUAUGCACAAAAAACUUAGUAAGGGCGGGGCCACGCCCACUUUUCCAAAAAAUGGCGUCCAAAUAUGCCCCUCCCUAAUGCGAUCCUUUGUGCCAAAUUUCACUUUAAUAUCUUUAUUUAUGGCUUAGUUAUGACACUUUAUAGGUUUUUGGUUUCCGCCAUUUUGUGGGCGUGGCAGUGGACCGAUUUUACCCAUCUUCGAACUUAACCUUCUUAAAGAGCCAAGAAAUACGUGUACCAAGUUUCAUCAUGAUAUCUCAAUUUUUACUCAAGUUACAGCUUGCACGGACGGACGGACGGACGGACAGAAGGACGGACAGACGGACGGACAGACGGACGGACAGACGGACGGACAGACGGACGGACGGACAAACAGACAUCCGGAUUUCAACUCUACUCGUCACUCUGAUCACUUUGGUAUAUAUAACCCUAUAUCUGACUCUUUUAGUUUUAGGACGUACAAACAACCGUUAUGUGAACAAAACUAUAAUACUCUCCUUAGCAACUUUGUUGCGAGAGUAUAAAAAUAAGAAUAGGAGAGGUAGCGGCAACAACAGGCAGCAAGCUAGCAGCUUCGAGUAGCUUUGCAAGUCAAGAACUUGACGUGCUUUUUUCCAACAAAAUUUCCUUAGUCCCUUUGAAAAUUGUUGCAUACUUAUGUGCGCUGCCUCUAUAAACAAUAUGCAUACACAUAUACCUACAUAUGCAAAUGGAGUGGUAGUGCAAAAGUUGAAAUGAAAUGUUGCAGCGAACUUUGAUUUAGUAAACUAGAACGCAAUUUUCAGGCACAACAUAAAUAAGUCUGAAGAAAAGUUAUACUCGAGCAUUGCUGGUAGCUGGUAUCGGCAUACACCUGCUAGAAAGUUCAAUAUAUGGUAGUCUUAUGUUGCCGUAAAGCACCUUUAUCCAACUGGAUUUUCAUGCGUUUCUCCGGUAAGCCCACACAUCGUAUUGAGUAAAUAAAUUUCGUUAUGAAAGUUCUCAGCUCUAUUUUCGCUUUUGCUUCCCUGCAAAAAGCAUUGGUCCUAUAACACAAAAUCAGUGGUAUAAAGAUAGAUUGAAAAAUCUUCUUUUCAUCUAGACCAAUGUGACUAGAUGGUGGCAUGUAGUUUUGCAUUGCCGAAUGACGACUAAAUACUCGUAUAUUCACUUGUUAUGUCAAUGAGCACAAAAAAGAACAAAGGCUGCAAGUGAACACGUGCCGUUUUGAAUUGUGAGUGUUGAACAAAAAUUUAUAAAAAUUUAAGUGUAAUUGCUAUAAUUUAUAUAAUUAAAUUAAAAUAAUCAAUAAAAAAUGUGUUAUUCUAAAAGGCACAUGAGAAGAUUAGUGAAGAGGAAGCGUGAUGAAUAUUUUUAAGUGGUAGCGAAAAUCCAAAUGACGCGGUAGAAGAGCGUCAUGACGCCAUUCUUGAAAACACAAUUGAAGACAGUUUUAAUUGUGAAAUUCAUGACGAAAUUCCGAAAGCAAGAACAUUCCUUGAAAAAAUUAGGAAAUGGCAAUUAGAUGCAAGAAUAUCUUAUAAAAAUCUGCGUGCACUUUUGAAAAUUUUAAAUGAAAGUGGAUUAGAUGUUCCGUUAAGACUGUCUACUUUGAUGCAAGUAAACUUGGAAAAAAUAUCAACAAAAGAUGUAUCUCCUGGGGAUUUAAUAUAUUUUGGUUUACAAAACCAAAUACAAAAAAUUGAAGGAAUUUCAAGUUUACUUCAUAAAUAUUGACGGAUUACCUCUAUUCAAAUCUUCACAAAAACAAUUAUGGCCAAUUUUAGUGAAAGUGGUUAGCUGUAAUAAAUCUGUUGUAUUUCCUGUUGCAAUCUACGAAGGAAAAACUAAACCUGAUGAUAUUUGUGUAUAUUUGGAGAGUUUUGUUGCAGAAUUAGAAAUUUUAUUAAAUAAUGGAGUUGCCAUCAAUGGCAAAUUUAUUCCACUGAAUGUACGAGUUGUGAUAUGUGGUGCACCAGCAAAAUCUUUUGUUUGUGGUAUUGCUCAUCAUUCAUCAGCUCAUGGCUGCUCCAAAUGUACACAAAUAGCCAAAAAACAAAGAAAAAAAAAUUAGCGUAUUCCACUCAAAUUGGGAAUUUAAUUACAAAUGCUGAUUUUGCUGCAAGAAAAUAUAAAGAUCAUCAUUUGAAUAAAUUUAUUUCUUCAAAAUCACCUUUGGAAAAAAUAAAUGUAAAUAUGAUCAGUAAAGUGCCAUUGGAUCCAAUGCAUUUGAUUGACAUGGGUGUUACCAAGAAAAUGUUGAUUGCCUUAUUGAAAAAAAAUCAAAGUACAAAAUGAGCAAAAGUAGCCAAGAAGAAAUGUCAUCCCAAUUUGAGUUGAUAAGGAAAUAUAUUCCAAAAGAGUUUGUUAGAUUGCCAAGGAGUUUCAAAGAAAUUCACCAUUGGAAAGCAACAGAGUUUGGACAAUUUCUGCUUUACACUGGAAUCUUAUUGUUAAAAGACCACGUGCACGAAGAUUUUUAUUAUGAAUUUCUGCUUUUUCAUUGCGCGUGUAGACUUAGACGUUAUUUUGCCAGAUAUACGUAUUUCAAUUAAAAAAAUUAAGAAGUCAAAUGCAGGGGAAAUAAUAUUGGAAGCAGUCUGGUUUAAAAAUGUCCAUCCAUUCUUUACAGCUCCAUUUACUUCAUUAGCUCUAGGAAUAGCACUUUCGGAUUCAUUAUCUGAAGAAAUUGAAGAAUUUAAAGCAGAUGAUGUAGCAUAUAAAUUGAUGUUGCUUCCUUCUUCACAAAAUUUUCUACUAUUGCCUUUAUUAAAUAGCUGCACUUUUUAAUAGAUAACAAAAAGCAAAACGAAUAUAAAAAAAAUAUAAUAUAAAAAAUAUAAUAUAAAAAAAAAAAUAAAAUAUAAAAAAAAACGAAAUAUUUAUAUGAAAGUGACUCAGCAACAACCAAAUCAGAUAAGACAAUUUGACUUCAAAGAUAAUGAAAUAAUAAUUUGUGAGUAUAUUUUGUUUCUAACUUUUCAUAACGGAUUAAUAAUUUUUAAAAUAAUUCUAUAGGUGAUUCGCAAAUUCAUUCCGAAAACAACAAUAGCGGCAGCAGCAAUAACAACAACUAUCUCAAAACCAAUAAUAAUACCAACUUCCCCAACAGCAAUAGCAAUAACAAAACUUGUGAAAGGUGCAAAUCUUUGGAGGCUAAAAUUGACGAUUUGAACACUAAAUUUGACAACAUGCUAGAUAUUUUUUUAAAUAAAAUUUUGAUGCAAAUAAUUUUAAAAAUGAUUAUUUUCCAGAUUAGCUUAAAAAAAUGAUGGAAGUUUAGGCAAAGCAAGGCGCCCAAUUAAGCGUUCUUGCUAAUAAGGACGCAGAUAUGAGGAAUUAGAGCAAACUCUUCCCUAUAAAAACCAUUGAAGAAAUGGAAAGCGUCAAUAACGCCAUAAAUGAGGUGAACAUCAAUGAAUAUAUUAACGCAAUAAAACACUUAUUAAAUGGGGAUCCAGAAAAGCACUUUGAGGAAAUUAUCUCCAGAUCUAUGUGCAACGAAGUCAAUGUAGGCGGCGUCCAUGCCAAGAUUUGCCUGAAAAAAUAUACUUCCUUGUAUGAUGCGAUUAUAAGUGGAUUGUCGGCGACGUCAGAAAAGCCCGAUAAGCAACUAUCGAAAUGCCUCCACAUUGUUAAAAAAAAGGCUGUAUAGAUUGACCACAGUUAAUAAACUAAAAAUUGAAAAUAACUAAUAUAAUUAACACUAUUGACUUUUUUUUAUCUUCUUCUUAAUUGGCGUAGACACCGCUUACGCGAUUAUAGCCGAGUUAACAACAGCGCGCCAGUCGUUUCUUCUUUUCUCUGCGUGGCGCCAAUUGGAUAUUCCAAGCGUAGCCAGGUCCUUCUCCACCUGUUCCUUCCAAGGGAGUGGAGGUCUUCCUCUUCCUCUGCUUCCCCGGCGGGUACUGCGUCGAAUACUUUCAGAGCUGGAGUGUUUUCGUAAAUUCGGACAACAUGACCUAGCCAGCGUAGCCGCUGUCUUUUAAUUCGCUGAACUAUGUCAAUGUCGUCGUAUAUCUCGUACAGCUCAUCGUUCCAUUGAAUGCUAUAUUCGCCGUGGCCAACGCGCAAAGGACCAUAAAUCUUUCGCAGAACUUUUCUCUCAAAAACUCGCAACGUCGACUCAUCCGUUGUUGACAUCG
Bactrocera neohumeralis is the source of this 4759-nucleotide long non-coding RNA. RefSeq lists it as uncharacterized. The record is from RefSeq and is a predicted model, not a curated record. NCBI's taxonomy places the organism in Eukaryota, Metazoa, Arthropoda, Insecta, Diptera, Tephritidae. The transcript has 5 exons.